AACGAACGCUGGCGGCAUGCCUAACACAUGCAAGUCGAACGAUCCCUUCUGUGUUAGUGGCGCACGGGUGCGUAACGUGUUGGAACCUGCCCUUAUGUUCGGAAUAACUUAGAUAAAUUUGUGCUUAUACCGGAUAAUGUCUUCGGACCAAAGAUUUAUCGCCUUUGGAUGGGCCCGCGUUGGAUUAGCUAGUUGGUGGGGUAAAGGCCUACCAAGGCGACGAUCCAUAGCUGGUCUGAGAGGAUGAUCAGCCACACUGGGACUGAGACACGGCCCAGACACCUACGGGAGGCAGCAGUGGGGAAUAUUGGACAAUGGGCGAACACCUGAUCCAGCAAUGCCGCGUGAGUGAUGAAGGCCUUAGGGUUAAAAAACUCUUUUACCCGGGAUGAUAAUGACAGUACCGGGAGAAUAAGCCCCGGCUAACUCCGUG
Molecule: ribosomal RNA, 433 nt
Filed under: uncultured bacterium
Lineage: Bacteria
Description: partial 16S ribosomal RNA
Rfam family: Bacterial small subunit ribosomal RNA
Source: RNAcentral